This 544-nucleotide ribosomal RNA is filed under the name uncultured Glomeromycotina. RNAcentral's name for it is "SSU rRNA". It matches the Rfam family "Eukaryotic small subunit ribosomal RNA", at positions 548 to 1098 of the family's 1831-position model. The record is from RNAcentral. Lineage: Eukaryota; Fungi; Glomeromycota.
UUGGAGGGCAAGUCUGGUGCCAGCAGCCGCGGUAAUUCCAGCUCCAAUAGCGUAUAUUAAAGUUGUUGCAGUUAAAAAGCUCGUAGUUGAAUUUCGGGGUUCUACCGUUGGUCGGGCUUUGUCUGUACUGGUGUGUAGAAUUUCUACCUUCUGGGGAACCAUCAUGCUAUUAAUUUAGCGUGGUGGGAAACCAGGACCUUUACCUUGAAAAAAUUAGUGUGUUCAAAGCAGGCUUAUGUCUGAAUACAUUAGCGUGGAAUAAUAGAAUAGGACGGUGGUCCUGUUUUGUUGGUUUCUGAAUCACCGUAAUGAUUAAUAGGGAUUGUUGGGGGCAUUAGUAUUCAAUUGUCAGAGGUGAAAUUCUUGGAUUUAUUGAAGACUAACUUCUGCGAAAGCAUUUGCCAAGGAUGUUUUCAUUAAUCAAGAACGAAAGUUAGGGGAUCGAAGACGAUCAGAUACCGUCGUAGUCUUAACCAUAAACUAUGCCGACUAGGGAUCGGACGAUGUUAAUUUUUCUUGACUCGUUCGGCGCCUUACGGGAAAC